This is a long non-coding RNA of Drosophila pseudoobscura, 463 nucleotides long. RefSeq lists it as uncharacterized. Lineage: Eukaryota; Metazoa; Arthropoda; Insecta; Diptera; Drosophilidae. The record is from RefSeq and is a predicted model, not a curated record. The transcript has 3 exons.
CAUAGCUCUGAUAAGGCAGACCAUAAAUCUGCGAUUGGAACAAUCGAAAAUACUAUUUUAUAUACCUGUGCAAACGUAACUAAAAGGGAUUUAAGUCGCAUUAAUAUAUACGUUCUCUACAGCUUCGUGAUGCAGGUAUUUUUUCACUGGGUUUUCUUAAUUGUUUCGAAGGUACAACAUUUAAAUUUAGCUGGGCAUCCACAGAUAUAUUUGUUUGUCAAAUUUCUGUUCAAAGGGAAUUCGAAUGUGAAUAGCCCCAGCUCGAAACCAAUUCAGAUAGAAGCAUUUAUAUUCUUCUCUAGCAAAUCGGCAUAUGUUAGUACCAAGCACACGUAGUGCACAAGAUCACUAACAUCCAUUACAUGCCUCCAUGAUAUAUGUAAAAAGGAAACAUUAAAUACAUAUUGGGGUGUUUAAAAUUAAUACGGGUUACCUGAUCGCAGUUGACGGUACGCCUUCGUCG